ACAGAGGGGGCCAGCGUUAUUCGGAAUUAUUGGGCGUAAAGGGCGCGUAGGCGGCCAUGCGUGUCUUCCGUGAAAUCCCUCGGCUUAACCGAGGACGUGCGGAAGAAACUGCAAGGCUCGAGUCCGGAAGAGGGGGGCGGAAUUCCCAGUGUAGCGGUGAAAUGCGUAGAUAUUGGGAGGAACACCAGUGGCGAAGGCGGUCCCCUGGGCCGGAACUGACGCUGAGGCGCGAAAGCGUGGGUAGCAAACGGGA
This 253-nucleotide ribosomal RNA is filed under the name uncultured prokaryote. Its description in RNAcentral is "partial 16S ribosomal RNA". It matches the Rfam family "Bacterial small subunit ribosomal RNA", at positions 525 to 777 of the family's 1533-position model. The record is from RNAcentral.